AGCAGCCGCGGUAAUUCCAGCUCCAAUAGCGUAUAUUAAAGUUGUUGCAGUUAAAAAGCUCGUAGUUGAAUUUCGGGAUCAAUUUAUCGGUCGUGCCAAUGGUAUGAACUGGUACAAUUGGUUUCUCCCUUCUGACGAAGCAUGAUGUCAUUAAUUUGGUGUCGUGGGGAAUCAGGACUGUUACUUUGAAAAAAUUAGAGUGCUUAAAGCAAGCAUUAGCUUGAAUACAUUAGCAUGGAAUAAUGAAAUAGGACGUUUGAUCCUAUUUCGUUGGUUUCUAGGAUCGACGUAAUGAUUAAUAGGGAUAGUUGGGGGCAUUAGUAUUCAAUUGUCAGAGGUGAAAUUCUUGGAUUUAUUGAAGACUAACUACUGCGAAAGCAUUUGCCAAGGAUGUUUUCAUUAAUCAAGAACGAAAGUUAGGGGAUCGAAGACGAUCAGAUACCGUCGUAGUCUUAACCAUAAACUAUGCCGACUAGGGAUCGGAUGAUGUUAAUUUUUUAAUGACUCA
This 508-nucleotide ribosomal RNA is filed under the name uncultured Glomeromycotina. RNAcentral describes it as "SSU rRNA". It matches the Rfam family "Eukaryotic small subunit ribosomal RNA", at positions 569 to 1078 of the family's 1831-position model. Lineage: Eukaryota; Fungi; Glomeromycota. The record is from RNAcentral.